Pseudoliparis swirei is the source of this 1492-nucleotide long non-coding RNA. RefSeq lists it as uncharacterized. The transcript has 5 exons. NCBI's taxonomy places the organism in Eukaryota, Metazoa, Chordata, Actinopteri, Perciformes, Liparidae. The record is from RefSeq and is a predicted model, not a curated record.
UUUAGUUAAAAAAAUUAGUGAGCUUUACUCAUUUCUGCUUACUUUGUUGACCUUACUUUAAGAAACUUAGUAAAGAACACUUUUUGGUGAGUAAAGUUAUUAAACUUAUUAUCUCAAGUAAGCUUUACUUUAAAAAAAUGAGUGAGGCGGACUCGGAAGAAACUCGGGUGCACUCGGCAGCACUCGGCUCGGAUACGCAUGCGCAGUCGACCACUGAAGACGUUCUUUGCUCGAGACGGAUUGGCGGCAGCGAGAAGGCAGUGCAGGUGUGCGAGUUACUUUCAGGCUUUGAAAAACCUGGCAAUGAAUUGUAAGUAUUGCUUAUUUUCUUCUACACACUACUGCAUAACACAUGGAAGCGUUGCCAGAUUGAGUCCAUGUCUUCACACAGAGUGUCUCCUGUGACGACCAUGAAGGAACGAUGAGGGGAGCUGAUGUAAUCUGUUCAAUCUAGAAGCCACUAGUUUUCUGCCCAGUGUGAUGUAGUAUGUUGUAAUGUGUUUACUGUAGGUCUAAUAUGACUAAAUAUUAAUUUAUUUCUCUUUCCGUUAGAUUCUGGCUGAGUUCUGUCGCUUAUCAAACAAAAAUCUGAGUUGCAAUCAGAGUUCUUCAAAGAUCUCGACAAAUACACUCCUCGCUUCCUGGAGAAGUUCAAAACCCAGAGGGGGAAAGUGUCGGACAGAAACUUGAAUAUCUGCAACAAGUCAUACCUGGGAGUACAGAUGUGACUGGGAGGUGAACAGCAGUCCUCCGUGGCUCUCCCGUCAUCCUUGGAGAUGACAACGCAGACUUCUUCAAGAAUUUGAGGUUCAGGAGCAGCCAAUAUGAUGCAGGUGUGACGGCUGACGAUGGUAGGUACCUGUUCAGCCUCCUGUGGUAGGAGCACAUUUCCCAGAAGCAGCAGUGACAAAGAAAUGUGGAUGUUUACCACGAAUAUGGACUCUGAUGACCUUCUGGACGUGUCCCACGCCUCCAUUGGGACCCUGACGGUGCUGAAGACAUUGUGGCCUCCUCACUCGCUGAACCUGGAGUCUACAACUACUGCCAUCGUUUUGGGAGGAACAGUCGUGAUGGGUGACCGCGAUAAUCUUCCCCGUGCCGUGUGGCUACUCUUCGGACUUAUUUACCCCUGAAUUUGGAGUAUCCUCAACGAGUGAGGAAGACCUUCUGAAUUUAUUCAUAGAGUGCUUCUCACUUGGACCAAAAACCAUAAAAUACAAUCACUCAAAAAUCUACUGAUGCCAUAAGGGACUGUGUUCAUGAUGUGCAGUCAGGCCCGAGAACUUCACCCUUCUAUCUCCAAUUGAACUCUUUUCUAGAAAAUGUCUGUUUUUGUUGUUUUUCUGUCGUGAAAUUUAGCAAAUGCCGAAAACGCUGUGUUCAUCAUAUUUCUGCGUUACAAAACCUAAUCUGGCAACAUGUUCAGCGUUUUAAGCACGUUGUUUGAGUUUUAAAACGUGUUUUUCUUCUAAAUAAACGUCUUCCAUUGUAA